GCUCCUUCGAAUCUAACUAACCAUUCACACGCAGCCCGCCCCCUGAUGACACUGCUUUGCUAAAUCGUCAUCCUUAUAACCGAAACACCCCCACCUCUCAUUUUGUUCUAGGGUUCUUCCUAUUCGUAGGUCAUUUAUGUGUUGCAGGGAUUGAUCUGCACUUGCUUGCUUCUGCUCUCCAUGACUUUGUCACUUUAGAACAAAUAUGUGCCAUUAGAGAUGGAUUUUUUGCUAUUAGGUAGAUGAGUUGUUGGGGAAGAUCCGGCCAUAACUCCAGAUUAUCGGCUGCUCCUUCUCUUUUGCUCUUCUUCUUUUCUUUACCCUCCAUUACUAGUUUCUUGGCAGGCAAGAAGUUUUAAAUAAACAUCUGCACUGAGUACCCUCCAAGAAUCAAUAAUCAUCAAGAAAACAAAACUAUAUGUUAAACAUG
This 430-nucleotide long non-coding RNA is filed under the name Ricinus communis (castor bean). Its description in RNAcentral is "long non-coding RNA (RCOM_LNC000969)". The record is from RNAcentral. Lineage: Eukaryota; Viridiplantae; Streptophyta; Magnoliopsida; Malpighiales; Euphorbiaceae.